CUUUUCUUCCCAGGCUGCUUUGGUC
RNAcentral lists this non-coding RNA (25 nucleotides) under Rattus norvegicus (Norway rat). The record is from RNAcentral. Lineage: Eukaryota; Metazoa; Chordata; Mammalia; Rodentia; Muridae.